Molecule: long non-coding RNA, 645 nt
Organism: Bufo gargarizans (Asiatic toad)
Lineage: Eukaryota; Metazoa; Chordata; Amphibia; Anura; Bufonidae
Exons: 3
Source: RefSeq, a predicted model, not a curated record
GCAUUACACAUGCACUCAGCUAAUUACGGGAAAAACAAUCCUUCUCUGCUUCUGCCAAGAAUUGCUGCAAUGAGGACAAACCUAUAAAAGGAGGAAGAGGGAGACAGACAGACCCAGAUUUACUGGCAGCAGAGACCGUACUCAGACAAUCAUCACCAUGGAAAUAACACAUCUUUUUCUCUUUCAGUUCUCAUCUUUUUAAGCAUUCAGACUGUAAAUUCCCUGAAAUGUAUAACUUGCAAAGACGCCAAUUGUGAUAAUUAUAGAGAGGUAACUUGCCCUGAUACCUCAGGAGGAGCUGCAUGCGAAUCUGUUUCCUACGAGACAAGUGAUGGUAAACGUGUAUCAAAAGGUUGUUCUUCCUCAAUGGAUUCGUGUCAAAUGCAACCUCCUAAUGUACCCCAUGAUGCUUAUAUAAACUGCUGUCAAACAGAUCUCUGCAACUCCGCCAUUACCACUAAGAUGUCCCUGCUCCUUGCCGGCUUCUUGGUCCUGAUGUCUCUGUGUGUCUCCAGGUUUUGAUCGGGUCCUUGACGCUCUGCUGAGACCAACGACAUGGCUUGGCCAGCGUAUACUAUGCACGGCAUCUCGCUUACCGAGGGCACAUAUAUCAGCCAUUUCUAUUUGUAUUAUGGACGCCUUUGC